UGAUAUCAACUCCUAUUAAAUCCCAAAACACAUUGUAUAUAAUGUGUAUUGAAUAAAGUGUAUUUAGAAAGUUUUCUCAAAAAGUCAAAACAUAAAGAGUGGAAUUUUGUUUGAUCAGAGAUAAGAUGUCCCAGACAAUGUUGAAUCAAUGUGUGAGAUAACAUGGUCUGAAAUAAUAGAUGAAUGAUUGAACAAAGUAAUAAAUAAAAGACAUAAGAAAUUUGUAACCUAGUUCAAUGUAAUUUUCACCUAUGUUGGGAGGGUAGUAGCCCGAUCAAAA
This 280-nucleotide long non-coding RNA is filed under the name Lathyrus oleraceus (garden pea). RNAcentral describes it as "Pisum sativum (pea) long non-coding RNA (PSAT_LNC030929)". Lineage: Eukaryota; Viridiplantae; Streptophyta; Magnoliopsida; Fabales; Fabaceae. The record is from RNAcentral.